UAGGGAAUCUUCCGCAAUGGACGCAAGUCUGACGGAGCAACGCCGCGUGAGUGAAGAAGGAUUUCGGUUCGUAAAACUCUGUUGUUAGAGAAGAACAGCGCAUAGAGUAACUGUUAUGCGUGUGACGGUAUCUAACCAGAAAGCCACGGCUAACUACGUGCCAGCAGCCGCGGUAAUACGUAGGUGGCAAGCGUUGUCCGGAUUUAUUGGGCGUAAAGCGAGCGCAGGCGGUCAAUUAAGUCUGAUGUGAAAGCCCCCGGCUCAACCGGGGAGGGUCAUUGGAAACUGGUUGACUUGAGUGCGGAAGAGGAGAGUGGAAUUCCAUGUGUAGCGGUGAAAUGCGUAGAUAUAUGGAGGAACACCAGUGGCGAAGGCGACUCUCUGGUCUGUAACUGACGCUGAGGCUCGAAAGCGUGGGUAGCAAACAGG
RNAcentral lists this ribosomal RNA (429 nucleotides) under Bacteroidota bacterium. RNAcentral describes it as "Bacteroidetes bacterium partial 16S ribosomal RNA". It matches the Rfam family "Bacterial small subunit ribosomal RNA", at positions 355 to 776 of the family's 1533-position model. The record is from RNAcentral. Lineage: Bacteria; Pseudomonadati; Bacteroidota.